This 406-nucleotide ribosomal RNA is filed under the name uncultured bacterium. RNAcentral's name for it is "partial 16S ribosomal RNA". It matches the Rfam family "Bacterial small subunit ribosomal RNA", at positions 30 to 526 of the family's 1533-position model. The record is from RNAcentral.
AUUGAACGCUGGCGGCAGGCCUAACACAUGCAAGUCGAACGAGUGGCGGACGGGUGAGUAAUGUCUGGGCAACUGCCUGAUGGAGGGGGAUAACUACUGGAAACGGUAGCUAAUACCGCAUACUAUCGGAUGUGCCCAUAUGGGAUUAGCUAGUAGGUGGGGUAAAGGCUCACCUAGGCGACGAUCCCUAGCUGGUCUGAGAGGAUGACCAGCCACACUGGAACUGAGACAGGGCCCAGACUCCUACGGGAGGAAGAAGUGGGGAAUAUUGGACAAUGGGCGCAAGCCUGAUGCAGCCAUGCCGGGUGUAUGAAGAAGGCCUUAGGGUUGUAAAGUACUUUCAGCGGGGAGGCGUUACCCGCAGAAGAAGCACCGGCUAACUCCGUGCCAGCAGCCGCGGUAAUUC